Molecule: ribosomal RNA, 253 nt
Filed under: uncultured bacterium
Lineage: Bacteria
Description: partial 16S ribosomal RNA
Rfam family: Bacterial small subunit ribosomal RNA
Source: RNAcentral
UACAGAGGGUGCAAACGUUGCUCGGAAUUAUUGGGCGUAAAGCGCGUGUAGGCGGCCUGUUAAGUUGGUUGUGAAAACCCAUGGCUCAACCAUGGAAGUGCGUCCAAAACUGGCAGGCUAGAGUUCUAACGAGGAUGGCGGAAUUCCCGGUGUAGUGGUGAAAUGCGUAGAUAUCGGGAGGAACACCAGUGGCGAAAGCGGCUACCUGGCCCAUUCUUGACGCUGAGGCGCGAAAGCUAGGGGAGCAAACGGG